GUGUUCGAUUAAAGGAGAGAUGGUUGGCAUCUCCCCUGACAGGGUCGGGAACAGCCUUCGGGCUUCCCUGUUAAAACACAUCCGGUUAAGGCUACCCACCUCUCGCAGGUGGAUCUAUAACCCAAUUUUUUU
Small nuclear RNA from Cucurbita pepo subsp. pepo (vegetable marrow), 132 nucleotides. The record is from RefSeq and is a predicted model, not a curated record. NCBI's taxonomy places the organism in Eukaryota, Viridiplantae, Streptophyta, Magnoliopsida, Cucurbitales, Cucurbitaceae.